This 729-nucleotide ribosomal RNA is filed under the name uncultured eukaryote. RNAcentral's name for it is "SSU rRNA". It matches the Rfam family "Eukaryotic small subunit ribosomal RNA", at positions 670 to 1426 of the family's 1831-position model. The record is from RNAcentral.
CGCGUGCACUGGUCCGGCCGGGCCUUUCCCUCUGUGGAACCCCAUGCCCUUCACUGGGCGUGGCGGGGAAACAGGACUUUUACUUUGAAAAAAUUAGAGUGCUCCAGGCAGGCCUAUGCUCGAAUACAUUAGCAUGGAAUAAUGAAAUAGGACGUGCGGUUCUAUUUUGUUGGUUUCUAGGACCGCCGUAAUGAUUAAUAGGGACAGUCGGGGGCAUCAGUAUUCAAUUGUCAGAGGUGAAAUUCUUGGAUUUAUUGAAGACUAACUACUGCGAAAGCAUUUGCCAAGGAUGUUUUCAUUAAUCAGGAACGAAAGUUAGGGGAUCGAAGACGAUCAGAUACCGUCGUAGUCUUAACCAUAAACUAUGCCGACUAGGGAUCGGACGAUGUUACUUAUUGACUCGUUCGGCACCUUACGAGAAAUCAAAGUGCUUGGGCUCCAGGGGGAGUAUGGUCGCAAGGCUGAAACUUAAAGAAAUUGACGGAAGGGCACCACCAGGGGUGGAGCCUGCGGCUUAAUUUGACUCAACACGGGGAAACUCACCAGGUCCAGACACAAUAAGGAUUGACAGAUUGAGAGCUCUUUCUUGAUUUUGUGGGUGGUGGUGCAUGGCCGUUCUUAGUUGGUGGAGUGAUUUGUCUGCUUAAUUGCGAUAACGAACGAGACCUUAACCUGCUAACUAGCCCGUAUUGCUUUGGCAGUACGCCGGCUUCUUAGAGGGACUAUCGG